Molecule: non-coding RNA, 1084 nt
Organism: Pocillopora verrucosa
Lineage: Eukaryota; Metazoa; Cnidaria; Anthozoa; Scleractinia; Pocilloporidae
Source: RefSeq, a predicted model, not a curated record
GCCAUAGAGAAAUGCAUAUUUUGAUUGUAAGCGAUUACUAGUUAGUUUGUACGUGUGUUUUGUUUUAGUCAACUUCAAUUUAGGAGCGGAACAAACCAUUGUCACAUUGGUAUUCUUAGCGAAGGAGAAGAUGCUAUAAUUGAGGAGGAAUGUGGCUGACAUCUGGAGGAUCAAUUUUGUAUUACUUCAUAAUAAUUAUUCAUAAUAAUUACUGACAUUUUGAUGAAAAAUCUUUUUUCCUCAAAUAUGAUAACAAAUUUAUGCUAAUUUUUCUGAAAUUCUUAUUUUAAUACACUUUAAUGUAAGAUAAUGUAGGGCCUUAUUGCUAUAAAUACAUGUAGAGGUAAAAAAAUGAAAACACAGUGUGGUCAAUUUCAUGUAUUUUUGGGGGCCAUAGAUGAGUUAAAGUUUGCAAGAUCAGUACUAAUAUAUAUGACCUAAAUGUAAAUGAGUGAGCCAUUGUUUUAUAUAUGUUAGUGCAUCUAGUUCAAUCUGUUUCCUAAGGACUGUGAAAGGUGUUCACUGUAGUUUAGGGUAAAACUUUGGAGUCAAGGGAAAGAUCAUUUUCCUUGAUGAAAAUUGAAUUAGUUGGUAGUGACAAAACUAGUCAGUGAUCGGUACAGCAUUCUGUGCCACACAGCUUUGGUCCCAUAACAUCUACUUUGUCAGUUUUUCUAAGUCAUUGCAUAAUCUGGUGACUGACAUAAUAUGAUAUGUCUCUGUGUAGAACAGCCCACACAUUACUCAAAGUUCUGUUAAUAGACAGACAUCUUCUGAUUGGACAUGGCACUACUGGAUGUACUGAAAGAAUGAUACAUAAGGGAACUUAUAAGAAGCAAUAAGCACAUUUAGAGGUGCUCAAAAAAGCCAUAAAGUUACAUAUAUUGUUAAGUUCUAUCAAAAAGGCACUAGAUAGAGCUCUUUAGAGGAUUCCAUGCACAAUCAAAAUCCCUUGGUAAGAUAACUCUUCUGCCAAAAGAGAACUAGUAGUAAUAAUAAUGAUAAUAAUAAUGAGACUUUGAUGAUGUUCUUUUUGGGUCUGAGAGUCUGUGUCACCUCAGUAUAAAAACCUGAUCAAAGAAAA